Molecule: small RNA, 28 nt
Filed under: Bombyx mori (domestic silkworm)
Lineage: Eukaryota; Metazoa; Arthropoda; Insecta; Lepidoptera; Bombycidae
Description: piRNA piR-bmo-1608889
Source: RNAcentral
UACCGGACUAUAGGGGGACGCUGAAACU